RNAcentral lists this ribosomal RNA (400 nucleotides) under phytoplankton environmental sample. Its description in RNAcentral is "partial small subunit ribosomal RNA". It matches the Rfam family "Eukaryotic small subunit ribosomal RNA", at positions 587 to 989 of the family's 1831-position model. The record is from RNAcentral.
AGCUCCAAUAGCGUAUACUAAAGUUGUUGCAGUUAAAAAGCUCGUAGUUGAAUUUCUGGUCUCGGACAUCGGUCUGCCUCGAACGAGGUACGUACCAGUUGUCUGAAUCCAUCCUCGGGGAAAACGUAUCUGUCAUUCAGUUGAUGGGUACGGGAUCCUCGUCAUUUACUGUGAGCAAAAUAGAGUGUUCAAAGCAGGCUUAUGCCGUUGAAUACAUUAGCAUGGAAUAAUAAGAUAAGACCUUGGUCUAUUUUGUUGGUUUGUACUCCAAGGUAAUGAUUAAUAGGGAUAGUUGGGGGUAUUCGUAUUCAAUUGUCAGAGGUGAAAUUCUUGGAUUUAUGGAAGACGAACUACUGCGAAAGCAUUUACCAAGGAUGUUUUCAUUAAUCAAGAACGAAAG